Long non-coding RNA from Hibiscus syriacus, 269 nucleotides. RefSeq lists it as uncharacterized. Lineage: Eukaryota; Viridiplantae; Streptophyta; Magnoliopsida; Malvales; Malvaceae. The record is from RefSeq and is a predicted model, not a curated record. The transcript is spliced from 3 exons.
UGCAAGUGUUUCUGUGCAGGUGGAUGAGAUGAGACAUUGAACCUAUUUAAUGAACUACAACUGCAACACCAAGCUGUAGAAACAAAAACUAAAACUCUUCAUGAUGCAUGUGAUCGAUUGGUAAUGGAGAAGCAAAGUUUGAUUGAGUUUGCUGAAGCACUUCGCAGUAAGCUCAAGUAUUUUGAUGAGUUGGAGAAUAUUACUUCAAACUUUUACUCUCCAAACAUGAAUGUUGGAAACACAAACUUUCUCUCACUUCUUAAACAGCU